Molecule: unclassified non-coding RNA, 355 nt
Filed under: Australozyma saccharicola
Lineage: Eukaryota; Fungi; Ascomycota; Pichiomycetes; Serinales; Metschnikowiaceae
Description: Metschnikowia saccharicola partial contains ITS1, 5.8S rRNA and ITS2
Rfam family: 5.8S ribosomal RNA (bases 106-255)
Source: RNAcentral
UUUCCGUAGGUGAACCUGCGGAAGGAUCAUUAAAGAACUAAAAACACACUGAUUUGGCACAAACACCCAAAACAUUAAUUUUUUUCAACUUACUAAAGUAAUAAAAACUUUCAACAACGGAUCUCUUGGUUCUCGCAUCGAUGAAGAACGCAGCGAAUUGCGAUACGUAAUAUGACUUGCAGACGUGAAUCAUUGAAUUUUUGAACGCACAUUGCACUGAAUGGUAUUCCAUUCAGUAUACCAUGUUGAGCAUAGUUAUUCUCCUACUUCGUAGGGCCUUUCUUCCAAAAUCUAAUCAACUACGUUAUUAGAAAAUCUCCCUUCUCAGCAUGGCAGGACUACCCGCUGAACUUAA